UACGUAGGAUGCAAGCGUUGUCCGGAAUUAUUGGGCGUAAAGAGCGCGCAGGCGGUAACUCAAGUCAGAUGUGAAAUAUCCGGGCUUAACCCGGAGGGGUCAUUUGAAACUGAGUAACUAGAGUACAGCAGAGGAUAGCGGAAUUCCCGGUGUAGUGGUGAAAUGCGUAGAUAUCGGGAGGAACACCAGUGGCGAAGGCGGCUAUCUGGGCUGAAACUGACGCUGAGGCGCGAAGGCUAGGGGAGCAAACAGGAUUAGAUACCCUGGUAGUCCUAGCAGUAAACGAUGGAUACUAGGUGUUGGGGGAAAUUGACCCCCUCAGUGCCGCAGUUAACACAAUAAGUAUCCCGCCUGGGGAGUACGGUCGCAAGAUUAAA
RNAcentral lists this ribosomal RNA (377 nucleotides) under uncultured bacterium. RNAcentral's name for it is "bacterial SSU rRNA". It matches the Rfam family "Bacterial small subunit ribosomal RNA", at positions 524 to 898 of the family's 1533-position model. The record is from RNAcentral.